UACAGAGGGGGCGAGCGUUGUUCGGAUUUACUGGGCGUAAAGGGCGCGUAGGCGGCCUUCUCAGUCGGGUGUGAAAGCCCGGGGCUCAACCCCGGAACGGCACCCGAGACGGGCAGGCUGGAGACCGGGAGAGGAGGGUGGAAUAGCCAGUGUAGAGGUGAAAUUCGUAGAUAUUGGCUGGAACACCGGUGGCGAAAGCGGCUCUCUGGCCCGGUUCUGACGCUGAGGCGCGAAAGCGUGGGGAGCAAACAGG
RNAcentral lists this ribosomal RNA (253 nucleotides) under uncultured bacterium. Its description in RNAcentral is "partial 16S ribosomal RNA". It matches the Rfam family "Bacterial small subunit ribosomal RNA", at positions 524 to 776 of the family's 1533-position model. The record is from RNAcentral.